Molecule: ribosomal RNA, 181 nt
Filed under: Clostridium perfringens
Lineage: Bacteria; Bacillati; Bacillota; Clostridia; Eubacteriales; Clostridiaceae
Description: partial 23S ribosomal RNA
Rfam family: Bacterial large subunit ribosomal RNA
Source: RNAcentral
GCUAAGUCGGGAAUGGAUAAACGCUGAAAGCAUCUAAGCGUGAAGCCAACCUCAAGAUGAGAUUUCCCAUAGCGUAAGCUAGUAAGAUCCCUUGAAGAACACAAGGUUGAUAGGUCGGGGGUGUAAGCAUGGUGACAUGUUCAGCUGACCGAUACUAAUAGAUCGAGGGCUUGACCAAAUA